Oncorhynchus tshawytscha (Chinook salmon) is the source of this 1655-nucleotide long non-coding RNA. RefSeq lists it as uncharacterized. The transcript has 2 exons. Lineage: Eukaryota; Metazoa; Chordata; Actinopteri; Salmoniformes; Salmonidae. The record is from RefSeq and is a predicted model, not a curated record.
AUACUUUGCGAAUCAAAGAUGGUGGCUUGCAUAACAACGAUCGUGUCAAAUUGUAUUUUCUUAUACAUUUCUUGCGUAAUUGAUCCAAAAGCUGUCUUAAACGCAUGUCUCCAACACGACUGCGUUAUAAAGGUAACGUUACCGUUAGGCUUUCCUAACUGAGGACCUGGCUGCUGGGUAAUGUUGACAGUUUAAUUUGUAUACCAUCCUUUAUUUUAACGCGUAGGCCUACCAUUAAUUGUGUUGGUUGGCUAAGCCACACUUCCAUUGCAAAGUGCACAGCUUUCUGCACCAGCCUGAAUAAUUCUAGUUAUGUAGGGUGUCAAAUCCGAUCCAAAAGUCGAACGAGCACUAGAUGGGGCGCGCGAGCUAGAUUAAAUAUUGCUCGAGAAGAAAUGUGGUCGAGCGAGCAGAGGACGGGUUCAGGGAGCGUAGACCGGUGUGGUGCGCACAUAUUACAGUUGAGAGUUUACGAGUGAGUGAGCAGAACUUCAUUCCCGUACGUAUUAAAUUAAAUCGAGUUUUUUUUUUUUGAUAACCUGAAGAAAUAUUUUCUACAUAUCGAGAUUCAGAAAUUACUGCACUCACAAAUACGGGGGACUACCAACUAAUUUUAUGCCUUAAUUAAACAACUCUGCACAUAUGUAUCGCUCCACCUUCCUCAAUCUCCAUUGUCAUACUUUUGUUUACCUUUUUACCAAUGUCUAUGGAUUGUACAAGGAUUUUAAUUUGGGAGUUAAUGGUAUGGCACCACACUCAAGUCAUGUAUGCUUAAACAUACUUGUAUGCUCAUUUAUUUGUUUCUUAAAGUGACAAUCAGCAGUUAAAACAAAGCGUUCUUGCACCUGUUUAGUAAAAAGCUGAGGGAUGGGGCUGGGGACAUGUAACCGCUCUCAAAUUCAUAGACCGUGUUAUGGAUGCAAGGACUGACCAUCCGCCGCCUCCUUAAACCCCCAUAAGAGAUGACCCAAAGUUCCUUGCCUAAGACCUCCAAUGAGUUUUGAAAAGGAAGUGAAGAGUUGAGCAAAGAUACAUUGGGACAGGGCUUAUGUCAAAUGAUACAAUUCUGUUCUAAAUGACCGAGUCCAUCCUCACCACCUCCAUCACUGCAACGGAUUGUCUGGUCUGCUGAGAGGGUCAUUGGUUGUCCUGCACGAAUCGAAGGCAAAGAAGUAUGCUGGGAAGUUCAUUGCCGACCCCUUUCACCCCCUCUUCCAAAUAUUCCCCUCUGGCAAAACCUCCUGCCACAGAACAGUUUCUUCCCCUUUGUCAUUGGCCCUCACCAACCUUCCACCUGGUCCUCUCAUCCAUGGACUUUGCACCUUACACUCCUAUUAUAUGCAUCAUUUAGCAUAUGUUUACAUUUUAGCCAUUUAGCUGACACUCACAUCCAGAGCGACAUACAGGUAGCAAAUAGGGUAAAGUGCCUCGCCAAAGUGCACAUCGACAGAUUUUUCACAGUCUGCUCGAGAUUUGAACCAGCGACCUGGAAGAACAGCCCAAUGCUCUUAACCUGUAGGCUACCUGCAGUUUAAAGUGUACAUACUGUAUGUGGAUAUUUUCUUUUUGUUUGUAUAUUCUGUUUGUGGCAGCACCAUUUCAGUAAAGUUCCUGAACAUGCAAAUGUAUUUGUUGAAUAAAGCUGAUUCAGUUUA